GUCCACGCUGUAAACGAUGAGUGCUAGGUGUAGGGGGUAUCGACUCCUUCUGUGCCGCAGUUAACGCAUUAAGCACUCCGCCUGGGGAGUACGGCCGCAAGGUUAAAACUCAAAGGAAUUGACGGGGGCCCCGCACAAGCGGUGGAGUAUGUGGUUUAAUUCGAUGAUACGCGAGAAACCUUACCUGGUCUUGACAUGUAGAGAACCCUUAAGAGAUUAGGGGGUGCCUGCUUGCAGGAGCUCUAACACAGGUGGUGCAUGGUUGUCGU
This 269-nucleotide ribosomal RNA is filed under the name uncultured bacterium. Its description in RNAcentral is "partial 16S ribosomal RNA". It matches the Rfam family "Bacterial small subunit ribosomal RNA", at positions 793 to 1055 of the family's 1533-position model. The record is from RNAcentral.